GCGGGGUUUCCCCCGCCCUGGUAGUCUUAGUAAGCCGGGAAGCUUAUGACUAAGAGCACCACGAUGAUGAUCCACUUCAUCAUG
RNAcentral lists this small RNA (84 nucleotides) under Escherichia coli 907701. Its description in RNAcentral is "QUAD RNA". It matches the Rfam family "Short Intergenic Abundant RNA", at positions 46 to 133 of the family's 147-position model. Rfam says of the family: This family contains multiple ncRNA from E. coli that were identified in a large scale screen of E. coli, were they were called candidates 43,55 and 61. The record is from RNAcentral. Lineage: Bacteria; Pseudomonadati; Pseudomonadota; Gammaproteobacteria; Enterobacterales; Enterobacteriaceae. RNAcentral also lists the same sequence under 1 other name.